GAGGGUACAGCUCAGUGGUAAAGCACAUGCUUAGUUAGCAUGCACGAGAUCCUGGGUUCAAUCCCCAGUACCUCCG
RNAcentral lists this transfer RNA (76 nucleotides) under Camelus bactrianus (Bactrian camel). It matches the Rfam family "tRNA". Rfam says of the family: Transfer RNA (tRNA) molecules are approximately 80 nucleotides in length. Their secondary structure includes four short double-helical elements and three loops (D, anti-codon, and T loops). Further hydrogen bonds mediate the characteristic L-shaped molecular structure. tRNAs have two regions of fundamental functional importance: the anti-codon, which is responsible for specific mRNA codon recognition, and the 3' end, to which the tRNAs corresponding amino acid is attached (by aminoacyl-tRNA synthetases). tRNAs cope with the degeneracy of the genetic code in two manners: having more than one tRNA (with a specific anti-codon) for a particular amino acid; and 'wobble' base-pairing, i.e. permitting non-standard base-pairing at the 3rd anti-codon position. RNAcentral also lists the same sequence under 2 other names. Lineage: Eukaryota; Metazoa; Chordata; Mammalia; Artiodactyla; Camelidae. The record is from Rfam by way of RNAcentral.